Molecule: ribosomal RNA, 57 nt
Filed under: uncultured eukaryote
Lineage: Eukaryota
Description: partial Eukaryotic small subunit ribosomal RNA
Source: RNAcentral
ACUUUUGGUGACUCACCAAAGGAAGCUGGGUUGCAACAACAGGUCUGUGAUGCCCUU